CCUACGGGAGACUGCAGUGAGGAAUAUUGGUCAAUGGACGAGAGUCUGAACCAGCCAAGUAGCGUGAAGGAUGACUGCCCUAUGGGUUGUAAACUUCUUUUAUAUGGGAAUAAAAUGUUCCACGUGUGGGAUUUUGUAUGUACCAUAUGAAUAAGGAUCGGCUAACUCCGUGCCAGCAGCCGCGGUAAUACGGAGGAUCCGAGCGUUAUCCGGAUUUAUUGGGUUUAAAGGGAGCGUAGGUGGAUUGUUAAGUCAGUUGUGAAAGUUUGCGGCUCAACCGUAAAAUUGCAGUUGAAACUGGCAGUCUUGAGUACAGUAGAGGUGGGCGGAAUUCGUGGUGUAGCGGUGAAAUUCUUAGAUAUCACGAAGAACUCCGAUUGCGAAGGCAGUUCACUGGACUGCAACUGACACUGAGGCUCGAAAGUGUGGGUAUCAAACAGGAUUAGAUACCCGGGUAGUC
Molecule: ribosomal RNA, 460 nt
Filed under: uncultured bacterium
Lineage: Bacteria
Description: partial 16S ribosomal RNA
Rfam family: Bacterial small subunit ribosomal RNA
Source: RNAcentral